AACGUAGGGGACAAGCGUUAUCCGGAUUUACUGGGCGUAAAGCGCCCGUAGGCGGCCUGACAAGUUGGACGUGAAAGCUCCUGGCUUAACUGGGAGAGGCCGUUCAAAACUGUCAAGCUAGAGUCUGGAAGAGGAGAGCGGAAUUCCCGGUGUAGUGGUGGAAUGCGUAGAGAUCGGGAGGAACACCAGUGGCGAAGGCGGCUCUCUGGUCCAAAACUGACGCUGAGGGGCGAAAGCGUGGGGAGCGAACGGG
RNAcentral lists this ribosomal RNA (253 nucleotides) under uncultured bacterium. RNAcentral describes it as "partial 16S ribosomal RNA". It matches the Rfam family "Bacterial small subunit ribosomal RNA", at positions 524 to 776 of the family's 1533-position model. The record is from RNAcentral.